GGGAGGUUGGAACCAAAAAAACAAGAAAGCCAGCCAAGUGGAGAGAAGUACAUUUUCUACAGAUUGGAAGAAAAAGUUGGCACCAAUUCUUGUGUCCAUGGCCUUUUACUUCUGGCCUAGAGCUGGCAUUUAAUUUGAAUUUUACUAGCACACAAAAUCAAAUGCAGCAACCUGAUUUUCCCAAUUCAGGGUAUUUAAUUUAAAAAAGCUUACAAGUUGAAUAAGUGGCUUUUCAAAAUAUGGCAGAGCUUCUUCUCAUCAAGAUUAGUGAGAGACUGAGCCAAUCUACUAUCCCCACAGAAAUGUCCAAUUAUUUGGGCAGAGGGCAGUCAAGCCUAUGCUGAAUUGUAGACACUGCUGUGUUCCUGCACCUGUUUCAGUUAUCAGAGUCUCCUAAAAAGCUUCACAACCUACCACUGUCCACACAGGCUUUCUGGUUCCCAUGUUGCAAGGCUGAAAAUAGAGUCCGAGAGAGAAGAAGUGAGAAUGGGGCCUCUGAAUGGCAGAGAGACCACGGGAGAACAUCUCCUGGAGCCUAGAGGGAUGAAAGAAGUGUCCUGAGCUACCAGAUAUCCAGUGUCACAGCACCUUGCCUCCAUCACUCACCACAUUGUCCUCUCUUCACACCAACUUUGUAGUAGUACAAAGUAUCGAUGAUGUGGCAAUUAUUUGUCUAGGCAUUUGCCGUGUAUUUACUUAUUUAAUCUCAUAAUAACUGUGAGGUUUCAUGGUUCCCAGAAGUAUUAUUUCCAUUUUAAAAUCUAGGGUAAUCAAGUAGAGAGAAUUUUUUUUUUUUUGGUCUUUUUUUUUUUUUUUUUUUUUGCUAUUUCUUGGGCCGCUCCUGCGGCAUAUGGAGGUUCCCAGGCUAGGAGUCUAAUUGGAGCUGUAGCCACCAGC
Molecule: long non-coding RNA, 897 nt
Filed under: Sus scrofa (pig)
Lineage: Eukaryota; Metazoa; Chordata; Mammalia; Artiodactyla; Suidae
Description: lncRNA (ENSSSCG00030056554.1)
Source: RNAcentral